UCCUACGGGAGGCAGCAGUGGGGAAUAUUGGACAAUGGGGGGAACCCUGAUCCAGCCAUGCCGCGUGUGUGAAGAAGGCCUUUUGGUUGUAAAGCACUUUAAGCGAGGAGGAGGCUACCUAGAUUAAUACUCUGGGAUAGUGGACGUUACUCGCAGAAUAAGCACCGGCUAACUCUGUGCCAGCAGCCGCGGUAAUACAGAGGGUGCAAGCGUUAAUCGGAUUUACUGGGCGUAAAGCGUGCGUAGGUGGCCAAUUAAGUCAAAUGUGAAAUCCCUGAGCUUAACUUAGGAAUUGCAUUCGAUACUGGUUGGCUAGAGUAUGGGAGAGGAUGGUAGAAUUCCAGGUGUAGCGGUGAAAUGCGUAGAGAUUAGGAAGAACACCAGUGGCGAAGGCGACUUUCUGGACUGUAACUGACACUGAGAUACGAAAGCGUGGGUAGCAAACAGGAUUAGAUACCCUGGUAGUCC
This 468-nucleotide ribosomal RNA is filed under the name uncultured bacterium. RNAcentral describes it as "bacterial SSU rRNA". It matches the Rfam family "Bacterial small subunit ribosomal RNA", at positions 337 to 796 of the family's 1533-position model. The record is from RNAcentral.